RNAcentral lists this ribosomal RNA (254 nucleotides) under uncultured bacterium. Its description in RNAcentral is "partial 16S ribosomal RNA". It matches the Rfam family "Bacterial small subunit ribosomal RNA", at positions 524 to 776 of the family's 1533-position model. The record is from RNAcentral.
UACGUAGGCAGCGAGCGUUGUUCGGAGUUACUGGGCGUAAAGAGUGCGUAGGCGGUUUUCUAAGUUUGGUGUGAAAGCCCCCGGCUCAACUGGGGAGGGUCACGCGAUACUGAUCGACUCGAAGGCAGGAGAGGGUAGUGGAAUUCCCGGUGUAGUGGUGAAAUGCGUAGAUAUCGGGAGGAACACCAGUGGCGAAGGCGACUACCUGGCCUGUUUCUUGACGCUGAGGCGCGAAAGCUAGGGGAGCAAACGGG